CAGUAGCCGCGGGAAUACGAAGGGGGCUAGCGUUGCUCGGAAUUACUGGGCAUAAAGGGCGCGUAGGCGGACAGCUUAGUCAGAGGUGAAAGCCCAGGGCUCAACCUUGGAACUGCCUUUGAUACUGGCUGUCUUGAGUUCGGGAGGGGUGAGUGGAAUGCCGAGUGUAGAGGUGAAAUUCGUAGAUAUUCGGCGGAACACCAGUGGCGAAGGCGACUCACUGGCCCGAUACUGACGCUGAGGCGCGAAAGCGUGGGGAGCAAACAGGAUUAGAUACCCCCGUAGUCCCUGACUCUUAUAA
RNAcentral lists this ribosomal RNA (301 nucleotides) under uncultured bacterium. RNAcentral's name for it is "partial 16S ribosomal RNA". It matches the Rfam family "Bacterial small subunit ribosomal RNA", at positions 509 to 809 of the family's 1533-position model. The record is from RNAcentral.